CACCCAGCACCUCAAGUUCAGUACCCCAGCUCUCACUGCUCUGCUGAGACUGUGAGGUCGUUGUUAUCACUGUACAGUGGUGCAUCAUGCCUGACUCUGUCACUGUAUCUUCAUAAGGUCUGGGGCCAUUGAUGGCAUCAACGUCUUAAUUUCUCCCAUCUUGCAGAGGAAGACACUAUUCCACCUUGACGUGAUAGUGACUGAGGAGCUACAGCGUUCUGAAAGGUCCUUACACUGCUUUGGAGGAAUUGUAGAAGAGGGCAUUGUCCCAGAAUCAGGGAACAGCCACUGAAACCGGAGUCUUGAAAUUGGUUCUCCAUGGCACAUGUGGAAGUCUUUGACGAGGCCAAGUUUGGCAAGCACAUCAGAGGUGUAAAUGAGAGAAGCACCGUGUGCACUGGGGUGGCAGAGAGGGUAACUCCCUCUACUCCCUGAUUCGGACAGAUGGACAGACGGACGAACGGACGACCCUGCUUUAG
Molecule: non-coding RNA, 479 nt
Organism: Mus caroli (Ryukyu mouse)
Lineage: Eukaryota; Metazoa; Chordata; Mammalia; Rodentia; Muridae
Source: RefSeq, a predicted model, not a curated record